UCUUCAUAUACUAGGGAGAAAUAAGUUUUGUAUUUUCGAGUAGUCUUUGUUCAUAAAUCCUCGCUAUUAUCACAAUUAUUCGACUUUCAUACAUGUAAAUAUCUUUUCGCUUGACCUCGAGAAAACAAAUUUGUUUGUUAUUUUUUGCAACAUUUGACAUUAUUUUAUGAUAUGUCAAUAGUAGUUUUAAUUGCUCGAACGUACAUUUGUACUUUUUGUCACACCUGCUUAAGUUGUACAUCGCGGUAAUUUCUUAUUAUUAAAGGCCAUUAACCUGAUUGUCUCUUUAGAUCUCUCUUGAAUUGUUUGUUUUACUGUAUCUUUCCGAAACAGUACAUAAGGUUGUAACUUUUCCACACUAAUUUCCUAAUCAUCGUUAUGCACAAAACAUUUAGCUGAACAAAGUUUGAUAGUUUUU
Molecule: non-coding RNA, 418 nt
Organism: Schizosaccharomyces pombe (fission yeast)
Lineage: Eukaryota; Fungi; Ascomycota; Schizosaccharomycetes; Schizosaccharomycetales; Schizosaccharomycetaceae
Source: the annotation of a GenBank genome assembly